AAGUCGUAACAAGGUUUCCGUAGGUGAACCUGCGGAAGGAUCAUUAACACGUUAUCCAACGUUAUCAACCAACGCGAACUGUUUUCACCCUCCCCUCCUGACCAUGAAUUGCGGGCCUGUAGAGUUGUAUGAAUGGGGCCUUUGUGCCGACUCUAUUCGCCUCUGACUUAGCGUAGUUACCUACGUUGGGUUGGCAAUUGUAUCUCGCUGGAGGACUCCUCUCAUUGAUCUGUCUCCAUUCAUUGGCGUUUCAAUGGGAACCUAUUUUACCAUUUUCACCCCUUUUUUGCUAGUUGACUUUUAUAUGUUGUAUCGUGUUGCUUCGGCAAUAAGGUGCACACGUUUAAUUAUUUGAACGUUAAAAAUACAACUCUUAGCAAUGGAUAUCUUGGUUCUC
RNAcentral lists this unclassified non-coding RNA (397 nucleotides) under fungal sp. Its description in RNAcentral is "partial internal transcribed spacer region". The stretch from base 1 to 46 matches the Rfam family "Eukaryotic small subunit ribosomal RNA", at positions 1786 to 1831 of the family's 1831-position model. Lineage: Eukaryota; Fungi. The record is from RNAcentral.